Molecule: unclassified non-coding RNA, 1255 nt
Filed under: Hevea brasiliensis (rubber tree)
Lineage: Eukaryota; Viridiplantae; Streptophyta; Magnoliopsida; Malpighiales; Euphorbiaceae
Source: RNAcentral
AGAAAGAGAAGGAAACUGUGAAGGAAAUCUUAACAACUGCUCAUGUUGUGCUUGCAACAAACAUUGGGGCAGCUGAUCCACUAAUUAGACGGCUGGAUGCAUUUGAUUUGGUUAUUAUAGAUGAAGCUGGCCAAGCAAUUGAACCAUCAUCUUGGAUACCAAUAUUGCUCGGAAAGCGUUGUAUACUUGCAGGAGAUCAAUUCCAGCUUGCUCCUGUGAUCCUUUCUAGGAAAGCCUUAGAAGGUGGCCUUGGAGUUUCAUUACUGGAGAGGGCAGCAACUUUGCAUGAUGGGAUGCUGUCGACAAAGUUAACAACACAGUACAGAAUGAACGAUGCCAUAGCUAGCUGGGCUUCAAAGGAGAUGUAUGAUGGAUCUUUAACAUCGUCUCCAACCGUUGCUUCUCAUCUUCUGGUGGAUUCUCCUUUUGUCAAGCCAACAUGGAUUACACAGUGUCCGCUGUUAUUGCUUGAUACGAGAAUGCCUUACGGAAGCUUAUCAGUUGGUUGUGAAGAGCAUCUGGACCCUGCUGGCACUGGCUCCUUUUUCAAUGAAGGGGAAGCAGAAAUCGUUAUUCAACAUAUAUUCAGUUUAAUUUAUGCUGGUGUUCCUCCUGCAGCCAUUGCUGUGCAGUCUCCUUAUGUUGCUCAAGUGCAACUACUUAGAGACAGGAUUGAUGAGAUUCCAAUGGCUACUGGCGUUGAUGUUGCAACUAUUGAUAGCUUUCAAGGCCGUGAAGCAGAUGCUGUGAUUAUAUCCAUGGUUCGAUCAAACAAUUUGGGGGCAGUUGGCUUUUUGGGAGACAACAGGCGAAUGAAUGUUGCAAUAACAAGGGCGCGCAAGCAUGUAGCAGUUGUCUGUGACAGUUCAACUAUAUGUCACAACACAUAUUUGGCCAGGCUUCUUCGUCAUAUUAGAUAUGUUGGCAAAGUAAAGCAUGUUGAACCCGGCAGCUUCUGGGAAUUUGGCCUUGGUAUGGAUCCAAUGUUGCCUACUACCAGUUAACCUUGAAAGAGUUCAACAAAACCAAAUUUUUAAUGCUUCUGCCCAUCUGGUGAAUGUUUGGGCGGACUCUCACAUACGUUGAUGCCCUGGUUCGAUCUGCAAAUUAUAUAUUCAGGUUUUUGACCACGAGAACAAAGCACGGGGUAAUUUUCAUUUGUAUAUAUAAUUCAAAGAAAAAACUUUAUGAAACAUGUAAAUAUAUAUUCAUACAGCUACGAUGUCUAUACGAUUCUUGAUUGUUUAACUAUAGU